RNAcentral lists this ribosomal RNA (457 nucleotides) under uncultured bacterium. RNAcentral describes it as "bacterial SSU rRNA". It matches the Rfam family "Bacterial small subunit ribosomal RNA", at positions 30 to 483 of the family's 1533-position model. The record is from RNAcentral.
AUUGAACGCUGGCGGCAUGCCUUACACAUGCAAGUCGAACGGCAGCGGACCUUCGGGUGCCGGCGAGUGGCGAACGGGUGAGUAAUAUAUCGGAACGUACCUUUCAGUGGGGGAUAACGUAGCGAAAGUUACGCUAAUACCGCAUAUUCUGUGAGCAGGAAAGCAGGGGAUCGCAAGACCUUGCGCUGAUUGAGCGGCCGAUAUCAGAUUAGCUAGUUGGUGAGGUAAAGGCUCACCAAGGCGACGAUCUGUAGCGGGUCUGAGAGGAUGAUCCGCCACACUGGAACUGAGACACGGUCCAGACUCCUACGGGAGGCAGCAGUGGGGGAAUUUUGGACAAUGGGCGCAAGCCUGAUCCAGCCAUGCCGCGUGAGUGAAGAAGGCCUCGGUGUAAGACUCUUCGGUCCGGAGAAGUACGCACAGGUUAAUAACCUCGUGUGGAGUGACGGUACGGAAC